RNAcentral lists this long non-coding RNA (868 nucleotides) under Lepisosteus oculatus (spotted gar). RNAcentral describes it as "lncRNA (ENSLOCG00000021621.1)". Lineage: Eukaryota; Metazoa; Chordata; Actinopteri; Semionotiformes; Lepisosteidae. The record is from RNAcentral.
UAACGUCAGUGUUGAGCCCUUGUAACGGAAUCCACAGCUGUCAUUCAGGACUCCAAUCCGCCCCCAGAAUGACCUUCCUCAGCGGACACGCCCCGUCCACCUGUCCCACAGGUGCGCCCGGCAAGAUGGCAGCGGGGCGAGUUUCUGCGGCUCUAGGUGCGUUUGCGUUUUAUUUCUAAUUUUCUUAUAUUUAAGUGCAUAAAAUCAAAUUUCACUUUGAGGAAAGAUAGACAUACAUGUAUUGCUGUUGCAACUUUUGUUAAUUGCAUUCGUUCCUUUUUAAUUUGUAUUUCAGGACGCCGAAAUGAGUGUUCUGUUCGUUUGAGCGUGCUUUCGAAGUUUUAAAAGUCUGCAUGCAGCGUUCUACACUACCUUUCAUGUGCCAAAAUGAUUUCCAGAACGGACCUCCAGUUAUUAAAAGUGAUUUUUCCAAGUUCUGCGGCUCCUGGUUCUCUGCGCUCCGACGAUGUCCUUUCCAACUCCACUCCAGCGACUCGCCGUGCUUUGGCAAAUUAUCCUUGACAAUGUGUGCUUUUCCUUACAUUUCUUUUUGAUACCAGUGGCUUGAUCUGCGAUGUUCCGAUUCAGUGGUGUAUUUUGUUCCUGACCUGCAUGUUUCUUGUUGAUUGCUAUUACUGUAUGUGCUGAGCAUUCUGCAAUAAAAGCUCUUGAUUUCAUUUUGUGCAUCGUCUUGUAUUUUUUCAAGGUGUGUUGGAAGGGUUUGCUCUGGGCCGCUGUCUCACUCCUGUAAGUUUUGGGCUGGAGAAUCUGGAGCGACCACGGGCAGUUUCCAAGAAACCAUGCGAAGGUUUGUUUUGCACUUUGCGCCACGCACCGCAAGGGGACACCCUAUCGCAUUUUUUCUUGG